GCAUUGGUGGUUCAGUGGUAGAAUUCUCGCCUUCUGUGUUGGAGACCCGAGAUCAAUUCUCAGCCAGUGCG
This 71-nucleotide transfer RNA is filed under the name Loxodonta africana (African savanna elephant). It matches the Rfam family "tRNA". Rfam says of the family: Transfer RNA (tRNA) molecules are approximately 80 nucleotides in length. Their secondary structure includes four short double-helical elements and three loops (D, anti-codon, and T loops). Further hydrogen bonds mediate the characteristic L-shaped molecular structure. tRNAs have two regions of fundamental functional importance: the anti-codon, which is responsible for specific mRNA codon recognition, and the 3' end, to which the tRNAs corresponding amino acid is attached (by aminoacyl-tRNA synthetases). tRNAs cope with the degeneracy of the genetic code in two manners: having more than one tRNA (with a specific anti-codon) for a particular amino acid; and 'wobble' base-pairing, i.e. permitting non-standard base-pairing at the 3rd anti-codon position. Lineage: Eukaryota; Metazoa; Chordata; Mammalia; Proboscidea; Elephantidae. The record is from Rfam by way of RNAcentral.